This is a non-coding RNA of Camelina sativa (false flax), 201 nucleotides long. The record is from RefSeq and is a predicted model, not a curated record. Lineage: Eukaryota; Viridiplantae; Streptophyta; Magnoliopsida; Brassicales; Brassicaceae.
ACUUCACUUCCACGAUCUUCAGUUCACUCCAGUGCAGUAAACUCCAACGCUCAACCCAGUUUGAAUGCAUCAGACACUCGACGCGUUCCUUUCGAGCCUCCAAGAAAUGGAAUAGUUCCAUCAACUUCAGCAUAUUCAACUAAACCUUUAGGGCCUCCACCAAGAGUACCAUCAGGUAGACCAGGCCGUGUUGUGGAAUCA